Molecule: non-coding RNA, 8419 nt
Organism: Caretta caretta (loggerhead turtle)
Lineage: Eukaryota; Metazoa; Chordata; Testudines; Cheloniidae
Source: RefSeq, a predicted model, not a curated record
CAUCGUAGGGUGCGCUCCGCCCUGCCCUGCGGCGCGCCCGCAACAUGUCGGCCCCGGCGGUGGCGGCUCCUGCCGCGUCUGCCGGGCGGGGAAGCGGCUCCGGCUCCUCGCGGGGCUUUUACUUCAACACGGUGCUGUCGCUGUCCCGCUCGCUGGCCGUGCAGAGACCCGCUCCCCUGGAGAAGGUGCAGAAGCUGCUAUGUAUGUGCCCUGUGGAUUUCCAUGGGAUUUUCCAGCUAGAUGAGCGUCGCAGAGAUGCUGUGAUUGCUUUGGGAAUUUUUCUCAUUGAGUCUGAUCUUCAGCACAAAGAUAGUGUGGUCCCUUAUCUUCUCCGGCUUCUGAGGGGUCUUCCCAAAGUACAGUGGAUAGAAGAAAGCACUGCACGAAAAGGCAGAGGCAUGCUUCCAGUUGCAGAAAACUUCAGCUUCUGCUUGGUGACUUUGUUGUCAGAUGUUGCCUAUAGGGAUGCCACUCUUAGAGAACAGGUUUUAGAGGCAAUUCUGCAAGUGAUGCAGUUCCUGCUAGGAAUGUGCCAGUCCCCACAAAACCAGGAAAAAGAAUACUUGUGCAAAUAUGCAGUGCCGUGUCUGAUUGGAAUUUCACGAGCAUUUGGUCGCUACAGCAAUUCAGAAGAGUCUCUCCUCUCAAAGCUUUUCCCUAAAGCUCCUCCACAUUCCCUGAAAGUCCCGGAAGAACUUGAAGGAAUUCGCAGACGUUCUUUUAAUGAUUUUAGAUCAAUUCUUCCCAGCUCUCUUCUCACUGUCUGUCAAGAAGGAUCCUUAAAGAGAAAGACCAGCAGUGUGUCCAGCAUCUCACAGGUCAGUCCUGAACGUGGAAUUCCCCCUCCCAGCUCCCCUGGAGGAUCUGCCAUUCAUUACUUUGAAGGGUCCUACCUACCUGAUGGGAGUGCAUUGGACCCUGAUUAUUACUUCUCUACAAUCAGCUCUAGCUUCUCAGUUUCUCCUCUCUUUAAUGGUAUUAGUAACAAGGAAUUUGAUAUUCCACUGGAAAUGCUCCGCCAGCUGCUGCUCAUGGUGAAACAGAUUGUUGGGGAUUCUGUUCUCAAAAACUUAGAUGCAGUUGUAGAUGAAGUUGCAGAGAUAAGUCCUAAUGCAGAUCUCUAUUAUAAAACAUUCAGUGACCCUCUUUACCUUGCCCAGUUUAAAAUGUUAAGAGACACGUUAUACUACAUGAAAGAUCUUCCAAACUCAUUUGUUAAGGAAAUCCAUGAUUUUGUGCUGGAACAGUUCAACAGCAGCCAGUCAGAGCUUCAGAAAAUCCUGCAUGAUGUAGAUCGGCUACACAAUGAACUGAGCCCUCUGAAAUUGCGUUGCCAGGCUAAUGCAGCUUGUGUGGAUCUCAUGGUGUGGGCUGUGAAAGAUGAGCAAGGUGCAGAAAACCUGUGCAUCAAACUGUCGGAGAAGCUGCAGUCCAAGACCUCCAGCAAAGUCAUCAUUGCUCACUUGCCGCUGCUGAUCUGCUGCUUGCAGGGUCUAGGUCGUUUGUGUGAGAGGUUCCCUGUUGUGGUUCAUUCUGUGACUCCAUCUUUGAGGGACUUCCUCGUUAUUCCUUCCCCAGUGCUGGUAAAACUUUACAAGUACCACAGCCAGUAUCACACAGUAGGUGGCAAUGACAUCAAAAUCAGCGUAACAAAUGAGCAUUCAGAGUCCACUCUAAAUGUAAUGCCCGGCAAGAAAAGUCAACCAUCCAUGUAUGAACAGCUUCGAGACAUUGCCAUAGACAACAUCUGCAGGUGCUUGAAAGCUGGCCUGACUAUAGACCCAGUGAUUGUUGAGGCUUUCCUAGCCAGUUUGUCUAACCGUCUGUACAUCUCACAGGAGAGUGACAAGGAAGCCCAUUUGAUUCCUGACCACACAAUUCGAGCUCUGGGGCACAUUGCAGUGGCUCUUAGGGACACUCCCAAAGUGAUGGAACCUAUCCUGCAGAUCCUGCAGCAGAAGUUCUGCCAGCCACCAUCUCCACUUGACGUACUCAUCAUUGACCAGCUGGGCUGCUUAGUUAUCACUGGAAACCAAUAUAUUUACCAGGAGGUAUGGAAUCUAUUCCAGCAAAUCAGUGUAAAGGCAAGCUCAGUUGUUUACUCUGCCACUAAAGAUCACAAGGAUCAUGGAUACAGACACUGUUCCUUAGCUGUCAUUAAUGCCUUGGCUAACAUAGCUGCUAACAUUCAGGGAGAACACCUUGUGGAUGAAUUACUAAUGAAUUUGCUGGAACUGUUUGUACAGCUUGGACUGGAAGGAAAGAGAGCCAGUGAGAGAGCAAGUGAAAAGGGCCCCGCACUAAAGGCCUCCAGUAGUGCAGGGAACCUGGGAGUGCUUAUUCCUGUUAUUGCUGUGCUCACCAGACGUUUACCACCCAUCAAGGAGGCCAAACCCAGGUUACAGAAGCUCUUCCGUGAUUUUUGGCUGUAUUCGGUACUUAUGGGAUUUGCUGUGGAGGGAUCAGGUCUUUGGCCGGAAGAGUGGUAUGAAGGGGUAUGUGAGAUAGCCACUAAGUCUCCACUGCUCACAUUUCCCAGCAAAGAACCUCUUCGAUCUGUUCUUCAGUACAACUCUGCCAUGAAAAAUGACACAGUGACUUCUGCUGAACUGAAUGAGUUACGGAGCACCAUCAUAAAUCUCUUGGAUCCUCCUCCAGAAGUGUCUGCUCUGAUCAAUAAGCUGGACUUCGCUAUGUCUACCUAUCUACUGUCUGUUUACCGUCUAGAGUAUAUGAGGGUAUUGCGUUCAACAGACCAAGAUCGCUUCCAAGUGAUGUUUUGCUAUUUUGAGGAUAAAGCUAUUCAAAAAGACAAAUCUGGGAUGAUGCAGUGUGUGAUAGCUGUUGCAGAUAAGGUGUUUGAAGCUUUCCUUACAAUGAUGGCUGAUAAAGCUAAAACUAAAGAGAAUGAAGAGGAGCUGGAGCGACAUGCUCACUUUCUCCUAGUGAAUUUUAACCACAUUCACAAGAGGAUCAGGAGGGUUGCAGACAAAUACUUAUCUGGUCUUGUAGAUAAGUUCCCUCAUUUACUGUGGAGUGGAACUGUGCUCAAGACCAUGUUAGAUAUCCUCCAGACGCUGUCACUCUCUCUCAGUGCGGACAUUCACAAGGACCAACCAUACUAUGACAUUCCAGACACCCCAUAUAGAAUCACUGUCCCUGAUACAUAUGAAUCAAGAGAGAGUAUAGUGAAGGACUUUGCUGCCCGGUGUGGGAUGAUUCUUCAAGAAGCAAUGAAAUGGGCUCCUUCUGUCACAAAGUCCCACCUUCAGGAGUACCUAAAUAAACAUCAGAAUUGGGUGUCAGGCUUGUCUCAGCACACCGGGCUGGCUAUGGCUACAGAAAGCAUUCUCCACUUUGCAGGCUACAACAGACAAAACACCACCCUGGGGGCAACCCAGCUAACUGAAAGACCAGCCUGUGUAAAGAAAGAUUACUCCAACUUUAUGUCUUCUCUUAACUUGCGCAAUCGCUACGCAGGAGAGGUGGCUGGAAUGAUUCAUUUCUCAAAUGCUACAGGUCGGGUAUCUGACCUGAAUAAACUGAUGAUCAAGCAACUAAAUGAUGCACUAGAACCAGGCCAGCCUCAAGUCUACACCCAGGCCAUGUUUAUGUUGACUGCAAUGCUAAUAAGUAGCAAAGACUGUGACCCUCAGCUCCUGCAUCACUUGUGCUGGGGCCCCCUGCGAAUGUUCACUGAACAUGGCAUGGAAACAGCAAUUGCUUGCUGGGAGUGGCUACUUGCUGCUAAGAAUGGAAUAGAAGUACCGUUCAUGCGAGAAAUGGCAGGAGCCUGGCAAAUGACAGUGGAGCAGAAAUUUGGCCUGUUUUCUACUGAGCAGAAAGAAGCAGAUCCAUUAGCUGCUUCAGAAGAGAGUCAGCCAAGGCCUUGCCCUCCAGAGGUCACACCACAUUACAUCUGGAUAGAUUUUCUGGUGCAGAGAUUUGAAAUAGCCAAGUACUGUAGUUCUGAUCAGGUCGAGAUCUUCUCCAGCCUGCUACAGCGAUCCCUGUCUCUGAAUAUUGGAGGGGCAAAGAGCAGUUUGAACCGACACGUGGCAGCUAUUGGACCCCGCUUCAAGUUGCUGACACUUGGGUUGUUUCUGCUGCAUGCUGAUGUCGUUCCAAAUGCAACCAUUCGCAAUGUCUUGAGAGAGAAGAUUUAUUCUACUGCCUUUGAUUACUUCAGUUAUCCCCCAAAAUUCCCCACACAAGGGGAGAAGAGGCUACGUGAGGAUAUCAGCAUAUUGAUCAAGUUUUGGACUGCCAUGUUCUCCGAUAAGAAGUACUUAACAGCCAGCCAGCUGGUGCCUCCUGAUAAUCAAGACACCCGGAGUAACCUGGAUAUCACCAUUGGAUCUCGGCAGCAGGCCACACAGGGAUGGAUAAAUACUUACCCGUUGUCCAGUGGCAUGUCAACCAUCUCCAAAAAAUCAGGGAUGUCUAAGAAGACUAACAGAGGUACCCAGCUACACAAGUACUACAUGAAACGGAGGACACUGCUGCUCUCGUUGCUGGCUACUGAGAUUGAGCGUUUGAUCACCUGGUACAACCCGCUCUCCUCCCCUGAACUGGAGUUGGAUCAAACUGCAGAGAACACCGUGGCAAAUUGGAGAUCUAAGUACAUCACUCUAACUGAGAAACAGUGGAAGGAUAAUGUGAAUUUGGCUUGGAACAUUUCCCCUCAUCUUGCUGUGCAACUGCCUACCAGAUUUAAAAACACUGAAGCUAUUGGAACAGAAGUGACUCGCCUGGUUCGGCUGGACCCAGGAGCUGUUAGUGAUGUACCUGAAGCAAUAAAGUACUUGGUUACAUGGCACACAAUUGAUGCAGAUGCACCUGAGCUCAGCCAUGUUCUGUGCUGGGCACCAACAGAUCCACCUACUGGCCUUUCCUAUUUUUCAAGCAUGUACCCACCUCAUCCUCUAACAGCUCAGUAUGGAGUUAAAGUCCUGCGGUCCUUCCCUCCGGAUGCCAUUUUAUUUUACAUUCCACAGAUUGUGCAAGCCCUUCGCUAUGAUAAGAUGGGCUAUGUCAGGGAAUACAUCCUGUGGGCGGCUGCCAAAUCCCAGCUUUUGGCUCACCAGUUUAUCUGGAACAUGAAAACCAAUAUCUUCCUGGAUGAAGAGGGACAUCAGAAAGAUCCUGAUAUCGGGGAACUGCUGGAGCAGCUAGUAGAAGAGAUGACCAGUUCAUUAUCUGGGCCAGCCAAGGAGUUCUACCAACGGGAAUUUGAUUUCUUUAAUAAAAUCACCAAUGUUUCAGCCAUCAUCAAGUGCCACCCAUACCCAGACCACCUCGAACCCCAAUGGGGACCGCUCCUCCCUAUUCUGAAGAAAUCUACACUUAUUCUUUGGACUCCGCACUGGGGGAGGAGGAGACUUCCCCCGUGCAGGAAACCUCUCCCCAGAAUAUUGCUACCAUCCCUCUACCCGCUGUACUAGACCCUAUAGAGGAAGGAGAAAUAAUAGAGGAACCUCUGGAUGUUCUCCCUCCAUAUUUCAUCAUCCUCUCCAGAUGAAGAAGCUAUUUCAGAGUCAGCGUCUCCCUGCCAGAGGACUGUAAGAUCUUCCAGGACUCGGGAGGAGGGUAGUUACUUCCGUAGUAGUGCAGGUGGUACUUGUGUAAGGAAAACCCACGCGCACUCUGUGGUAUUUUACAGACUCCUGCCCCGGGAAGGGUUGCCUUGCCCAUCAAUGAAGCCUUGCUGGAGCCAAUGAAAACCCUUGUGACAGACCCUAACCUCUACACCAGCCGUUCUCAACAGGGGGUCCACAAAGCAGGGCCAGCGUUAGACUGGCUGGGGCCCAGGGCAGAAAGCUCAGAGCCCCGGCAUCCCGGAGGGGGAGAGAAGCCCUGGUGCCCCACUGAAGCCCUGAGCACCCCCUCCCCCUGUGCUGGGCCCUGGAGUUUUUAUGUCAUAUUGGGGAGGGGGGGCCUCAGAAAGAAAAAUGUUGAGAAGCCCUGCUGUAUACCAUCUGUGGCCAAGGGAAUGGACAGAUGAUAUCAAAUCCCUCAACAAGAUUUUGAUUAUUUUUUUAACCGACCCAGUUCCUUGUGGUCAUGGCUGCUAAUGAGUAGUCUCGUCAGUCCCAUCCUAAAGCCACUCCCGAAGACCAGGAAUUCAAGGGACUGGAUUUAUAGGGUCGAAAGGCUUAUUCCAUCAUUGCUCUUCCAAAAACGGGUGGCUAACUAUUGGGCUUUUAUCUAAAUACAUUUUUUUUUCUGCAAUUUCUAAGUUUGCUGACAAGUUGCCAGAGGAAUAUAAGGGACAGUUUGAAGCUUAAUUUGAGGUCACUUCACAGCCUGAACAUUCCUUCAAGCAGCUGUUGACGUUGCUGAUAUGAAUUCAUGGUCAGUGGCCACUGUGAUUUCCAUUAGGCGCUCUUCCUGGCUGCAGUCUUCUGGCAUUCCAAAGGAGUUGCAAAAUGCAACAGAAGAUUUACUCCUCAAAGGAUCUUAAACCAUCUCCCAACAAAAUGGACCAUGCUGUGCGCACCCUGAGAGACUCUUGUGCAACAGUGGUGGUAGCGGCUUACCAGUGCCGUUUAACCAUUCGGAAAUUUCCUUACCUGGAUGAUUGGCUAGUUUGUGGAACGUUUAGUGACCAGGUCCAAAACAGCAUCCCUGUCAUCAGACAGGUGUUCUUUCGUCUGGGCCUGAAAAGAAAAAAAAGGACAAAUUACAAUCAACACAGUGUAUAACUUUCAUGGGUGCAGACCUUGAUGCCAUGAACCCUCUUGCUAACCUUCUUAGGGGAAAGGUUUCGCUCUGUAGCCUUUCUUGAAAGCCGCAACAUCAUCCGCGUGUGCCUGCCUAUAGCUCCUGGGCCACAUGACCUCAUGCACUGAGGAAACUUCACAUGUCAGACUUCACCUUCGCUGUCUGCAGUCCUGGCUCCAGUCAGUGUAUCGUCCUUCUAGUCACCCUCUGAACACGCGGAUUUGUGUACCUGCUCAAGUGCUUCAGACUCUGAAUUGGUGGUUAGAUCCACAGAAUGUAUGCAAAGGAGUUUCGUCUCUGUCCCCAGAACCAAUUAUGACUCUGGUAAUGAAUGGAUCUACCAAAGACUGGGAGACCCAUCUCAGUCAGCUUCAGGCACAAGCUCUUUGGUCACCCCAGGAAGUUUCUUUCCAUUUAAAUGUACUGGAACUCAGAGCUGUUCAUCAAGCCUUUGAGAUGUUUGUCCACCAUCAAGACCUAGGUGAUGGAAGUUUUUUGUGGACAACUCCGCCAUGUUUUAUCUGAACAAGCAGAAAGGUGCAAGAUCAUCUCAGCUAUGCCAGGAUGCCAUCCUCCUAUGGAACCUGUGUGUAAGAAACUGCGUCUCCCUGAAGCUGUUCUCCUUCUAGGAGUGAGAGAAACAACUGGGGAUUCCCUCAUCAGGGAUUUCGUAGCCCAACACAAGUGGUCAGUCAGAAAGGACAUUCUCCUCUAGAUUUUCUCCCCGUGAGUACCCAGUAAUAGACUUGUUCGCCACCAACCUGAACAACAGAUGGAGGAGAUUUUGCCCCACGGCGGGCCACGGCCUGGGCUCCAUCACAGAUGCUUUCCUUCUCCCUCGGUCCAGUCAAUUUCAAUAUGCUUUCCUCCUGGUUCCUCUCUUUCCAGGGAUACUCAGGAAGCUGAAAAGAGACAAAUCAACAUUAAUCCUCCUGCCACUGGCAUGGCCCUGGAUCUGCAUCACCUCUCCAUCUGGUCACUGAUAACUUUUCCUCUAGUCAAGGAUCUCCUCUCUCAGAACCAGGGCAGGUCUCUUCAUCCCAACCUCCAGUCUCUCCACUUCACAACAUGGAUGAUCUCUGGUUAAAUUCUAAUGAGAAAUCAUGCUUCCAAGACAUUCAGACCAUCUUGGUGAACAGCAGAAAAUAUUCCACUACAGCCAGCAAAGAGGAAGAGAUUUUUAAUUUGGGCACAAUCUCAACACUUACUGCUCCAUCACCCAGAGGUUAGACAUGCUGGACUAUCUGUUGCACCUGAUAUCAUCAGGCCUUUUGAUUAGUUCUGUGAGAGUUCUCCUGGCUUCCAUAUCUACAUUACAUCCACCAGGGUUUUCCAUUUUCUCUCACCCUCUGGUUUCCUGAUACUUGAAAGGUUUACUCAACACUUACCCUCCUGUGUCUGAUCCUGGACCUAUAUGGGAUCUCAGACUAGUCCUCUCCAAACAGAUAGGAUCCUCCUUUGGACUUAUGGUGACAGCCUCAUUACCUUUACUGUCUAUGAGGACCGUGUUUCUAGGUGGCAAUCACUUCUGCAUUCGAUUUACUCUUGUGCAUCGGGUGCACAUAUACCUUCAGAGGAAUAUACAUCUGCGUAACACAUCUCUAAGAACAACAUUUACUUUACAGGCCAUUCCCUAAAGGAGAUGAAAGAAAGAAAGCUUGUUUGAGUGCUCUGUCUGAGGUGAAAGUACAGCCUG